UUAGAGAGGCGCUGGGGUGUUGUAGGGGCAGCCGCCGUGAACAGUGGGAUGGAGCGUGUUAGGAGGUGCUGGGGUGGGCCGCGCGGGCAGCUCUGUGAACAGUGGUGAUGGAGCGUGUUAGGAGGUGCUGGGGUGGG
RNAcentral lists this long non-coding RNA (137 nucleotides) under Pan troglodytes (chimpanzee). RNAcentral describes it as "lncRNA (ENSPTRG00000053533.1)". The record is from RNAcentral. Lineage: Eukaryota; Metazoa; Chordata; Mammalia; Primates; Hominidae.